GAGUAUCAUCAGGAAACUUUAGAAAAUCUGAAGGCAGCUGUUAAGCUCACUUAGAAGUUUUGUGCGGUUAUGUUGGAUACCGUAGGUGCUGAGAUGCAGGUUGUUAAUAAAAGCGAGAAAGCCAUCUCACUUCAGGCAGAUGCUAUGGUUAUUUUGACACCGGAUGCAGGGCAAAAGGCCUCUUCAGAAUUAUUGCCUAUCAAUUUUGAUGUAUUGUCAAAGGCAGUGAAGAAGGGAGACACUAUUUUUAUUGGUCAGUACCUGUUUACUGGGAGUGAAACUACAUCUGUUUGGCUGGAGGU
Molecule: long non-coding RNA, 302 nt
Organism: Hibiscus syriacus
Lineage: Eukaryota; Viridiplantae; Streptophyta; Magnoliopsida; Malvales; Malvaceae
Exons: 3
Source: RefSeq, a predicted model, not a curated record